ACGAACGCUGGCGGUGUGCUUAACACAUGCAAGUCGAACGGAAAGGCCCUGCUUUUGUGGGGUGCUCGAGUGGCGAACGGGUGAGUAACACGUGAGUAACCUGCCCUUGACUUUGGGAUAACUUCAGGAAACUGGGGCUAAUACCGGAUAGGAGCUCCUGCUGCAUGGUGGGGGUUGGAAAGUUUCGGCGGUUGGGGAUGGACUCGCGGCUUAUCAGCUUGUUGGUGGGGUAGUGGCUUACCAAGGCUUUGACGGGUAGCCGGCCUGAGAGGGUGACCGGCCACAUUGUGACUGAGAUACGGCCCAGACUCCUACGGGAGGCAGCAGUGGGGAAUAUUGCACAAUGGGCGGAAGCCUGAUGCAGCAACGCCGCGUGCGGGAUGACGGCCUUCGGGUUGUAAACCGCUUUCGCCUGUGACGAAGCGUGAGUGACGGUAAUGGGUAAAGAAGCACCGGCUAACUACGUG
RNAcentral lists this ribosomal RNA (467 nucleotides) under uncultured bacterium. Its description in RNAcentral is "partial 16S ribosomal RNA". It matches the Rfam family "Bacterial small subunit ribosomal RNA", at positions 29 to 507 of the family's 1533-position model. The record is from RNAcentral.